Long non-coding RNA from Lolium rigidum, 4049 nucleotides. RefSeq lists it as uncharacterized. The transcript has 5 exons. The record is from RefSeq and is a predicted model, not a curated record. NCBI's taxonomy places the organism in Eukaryota, Viridiplantae, Streptophyta, Magnoliopsida, Poales, Poaceae.
GUUGGUGGAUUGAGGAACAGGAGGGCAUUCGUCUCCUUUGUCCUGCUGAUAACCUGGACAAGUUGGAAAAAAAAAGAUAAUCGGUGCCUUUUCUUUCCCAUGCAAAUUAGAAGUGCACUUCGUUUUUCAAUAUGACAAAGCCUGGUCAGUGAAGCAGCUAAUGAGGACAGUCAAGGACUAACCAGUUGGUGUGAUAAGGAGCCUGGAAAUAUUCAUGGUGGUCAUGCAGAAGUUCUUUAGCUGAAUAAUUUCUUAGCUAGGCAUGAUUCUGUACAAUUUAUCUUUUAUUCUUUCACCCUUUCUUUCCAUGUCUUGCUUCAAUCCAAAUCUGGUGGUUUGUUGCUAGGUCAGGGAACAAAGUUGUAAGUGUUGCUAUCCUAAUGUAAUGGCAUGCAGGCAUACUGCAUGUUCUAUUAAAAAGGGAGAUUGUUCUUUCCCUCAUGUUCUGUUUCUUCGGAAGUAGUUCUCGAAAAAGAUAAAUUCACCAUGAGGUACUUCUCAUUUGAUUAUUCUGAUGUGACCAAAUUCAUGUUUUGAUACAGAAAGAUAUUAUCAAAUUGAUACAUAUGUGAAUUUUAAUGUUGAGUACCUCUCUAUUUGUGAAGGUUAGUCUCCUAGUCCUAUCUUCUGGUUUUAUGAGCAUAGUUGUUUUUUGAGGAAUGAAAAUUAUAUUAUGGUCGCAUAUUUCCAUAUUAACUUGAUACCAAUUAACAGAUGCUUUCUCUUACGUAGGUUCUUUUUCGUUUGUACUUGAUCUCUGUUACAUUACAUUUUAUUGAAUUACAUGUUUAAAUCGUUUUGAACAAAUAAUAGUUCAUUUGUUAAAGUAAAUGAGAGAAGAGUUAUGGGAAGAAAAUGCAUCAUUAAUCAUUGUUAGAAGGGACAUACAUAUUUAACAGCGUACUUUUGCGCAUGUGCCUCAUGGCAACCUAGGCUAGUCGAACUCAUAGGCGUACACACUACACUCAACGUUGCUUAUAGAUAAUGCAUGAUACUAAACAGCUAAUUUGGUAUAUCAAAACUCAAAUUUAAUUCUAUAUGCAAGUGACUUGAUGGAAUUCAGAAUCAUGGAGGAUUUAACAUUCAUAUGAGCAUUUAAUACUAAAUAUAUCUUCAUUAUGCAUUCACUAGUAGUGCGUAUGGUUAGCUCCACUCGAAUUUCUAAUCCACCUGGAUCAGGUUGCAGUAACCUUGCUUUGUUAUUUUUCUCUCUAGAAGAACACAAAAGUUUUGCGUCAAUGCAUUGAGGGAACAAGAGAGUUCCUGAUACAGGUGGAUUAACCCUCUGAAAGAGAAAGCAUAGCCCAACCAGUCUACCACACCCACAGAAGGCCCUUGGGUUUAUCUUGUUUAUUAGUUCUUCCAAGCCUGGCAUGUCGCCCCUGAAUAUGCAAGUGUGUCAGUGCUUCAUGUUCACUGGGAUACUGACUGGACAGUUAUUUGCCACCAUGCAGUGGAAUCAUCACCUGCAGCUCUGGGAUGUAUCUCGUAGGUUGUACCCAGGAUAGGAGCUCGGACCAGUUUUGGCGAGCUAAUGAUCAGACCACAAACAGCCAACAGAAUUGAUGCAGUCAUCCAUGUGCUCUUCAAUGUUUCUGUGCCCCUGCUCAAGGCUGAAACGAUUUCCACGAGGUCUGAUGUGCCUUCAUGCUUUUUCAUCUGGCAUGUUUUUGAAGAGAAAGGGAAAAUUUGUGUGAUCAUUCACUGGGUCUUUUUUUUAAGGAUACGUCAUGGAUAGACGUAUCUGUUUCAUAGGAGAAAGGCCAGAAGGCUGACAUACAACACGCUCGAGGCACAGGCGCCCACAAAGCGCAGCUCCUUGCUACCUCCGGAAAAGGUAGCACACACACGUUACCGGACUACUCACGGCAUCUCCACUUAUCUACUGGUGCAAGAGAGCCUCUAAAAAUCCCGGCCACUCUCCACAACUCAGCCUCGUCAGAGAUCUUUGAGAGCACCGUGGACUUGGAAGGUGCGACGCUGUCAAACACUAUGUCGUUUCGGUGACGCCGGAGGCACCAACAGAUGAGAGUCACACCUGUAGAGGUCGCGGUCUGCUCCAAGUCCUCCACGCUUGCCCUGCAGCCAUCCAACGAAACCCGUAUCUACCUGCGGCAUCCAGUGCAGCUUCCCCCACCAGCGCAGACAAGUCGCCCAAACCUCUCGAGCCAACACACAUCCCAUCAGCAGGUGGUCCAGGGUUUCCUCGCUCUGGUUGCAGAAAGGGCACGCAGCCGGAUGGGGGAGACCCCGCCUGCUAAGUCUGUAUGUUGUCCAACACCUGUUCCUGACCGCCAGCCAAAGAAAGACCCUGCAGUUUGGUGGAGCCCUCGAGCGCCAUAUCUGAAGCGCCCCUGGCAUAUCCACCCUCGCCCCGAACAUCGCGCGAUAGCCCGAGCGCGUGGAGUAGGAGAAAUCUUUCUCCCAGCCCCAUCUGAAGCUAUCCUCUACACCCUCCAGGCUUUGUUAGCUAAAGGACAAGUAACGUGGUAUCGCAUACUUUAAUUUCUUAAUGUACUGGAGAAAGAGUUUAAAGUGAGCAAGUGAAAGUAUGGCCUAUCAUCUGUCAAAUAGGACAAAUAUGGUUCCAAUGGGAAAAAAAUCUUAGUAGCAUCUUCACCGCCCAACAGUUCAAAGAUGAAUCUUCAGUCACAUAGGUGAUGCCUCUUCUCCUACCAAGAGUGUCUUGAUGAUUUUGUCAGUCCAUCCAUCUACCAGCAUGAACAUAUGUCCACCUUCUAGGACUUCAUGAUACUGGACCCACUGGAGCUUCUCUGAAAUGUACCGCUGCAGCUCAACCAGCACCAGCCUAUCUUCGUAUCCUUGCCAGAUGUGCACAGCACCCUCAUUUGUAGGAAAUGGAUUUGUAAUAUUCAUUGGAUCAAACUCCCAGUUUCCAAAAGCAACAAGUAAAUCACGAUGGAUUGAUUCAUAAACGCCUUGCUGCCUUGAUUUAUUCUGAAAAUGGAAGGCACAAAUCAAUGUUAUGACAACAAAGUAGAAGAAGGGGUGGUUUAUGAUUUAUAGCGCUGCUUGAGAUUAAAUUUGACUGUAUUCUUUUGUUAGUGUGUAUUUCCAUGAAAAAUUUCAUGUAUAUUAUAUUAUUAGUUGUCUCUAUGGUGGGCGUAGCUCUUCAAGGAUUUUAGUUGUUGCACUUUUAUAUUGUUGUUUCGAGUGUUCUGUGAAGCGGAAUUUCAUGUGAUUGAAGUAUAUUCUUACAUUCAUUACAGAGGCAUAAUCGUGAUUUAAUUUACCUCAAUAAAACUUGGCAUUGCCAUCAUUUUCUGAAUCACCUCCAUAUCAUGCUUGCUAAAUAUUUCAGGAUGAUGCAUGGCUGCUGCAGAAGAAGGGAGCCACUUCUGUGUCAUCCACAAGUAUAGCAGGUAAGGCGCAUUGUGUGCAAUCCAGAGGGUCCUCUGCUCUGGCACAACCAUCUUCUUGAAGGCUUGCCUGGACAACUCUGCUGGAAAAGAAGGCCACCAGUAGUUGAUAACUGGCACAACUAGCGCAGCUCCUGCAAGCCUGCACCGACAACAAAUCAUAUGUUUACAACUCUGAAGAGUUACGUAUCUCGUGAACCUACUACAUAUGGCUGGGAUUUCUGUUUUUACCUGUGAGGUAUAUACUGGAGGCAUCCCCAAAUUGAGUAUCCUCCCAUCGAGACCCCCAGGACAUGGAACUUCUGUCCAACCUCCAGCUGGUCGGCGAGCUCCUCAAUAUCCAGUGCCUCGCUCUUGACAUUCCGACCAGGGUUCGGGUCACUUUCCCCGUACCCUGCUCUAUCAAAUGCAAGGAGGUGGGGGUAAGUCCUUUGUGCUAUCAAACGCAUGCACGGUGAUGAUCUUGUACCUGGCCUUGUCUCUCUGCACUCCAUCUUCCCGGUACGCGAGGUACCUUCCAUCCCUGAGCUUGAUCCUGGGAGACGUCACUGGAGGCCGCCGGCGGAACCGCACAGUUUUGGAGGCGGUGCCCGGAGAAUGGCCUGGAAGGCCAAAGCAAGCAGCAGCACCGGAAGAACGAGGAGCCAUCUUGGAACCAUUCCUCCCAGG